RNAcentral lists this ribosomal RNA (28 nucleotides) under Candidatus Liberibacter asiaticus. RNAcentral describes it as "partial 23S ribosomal RNA". Lineage: Bacteria; Pseudomonadati; Pseudomonadota; Alphaproteobacteria; Hyphomicrobiales; Rhizobiaceae. The record is from RNAcentral.
AAUCAAGCGCGAAAGGGCAUUUGGUGGA